GUUUGGGGCAGUAAACGCUUAGAAGAUUUUUUAAAGCCCAGCAUAACUAUAACUUCCCACAUACUUCCUUUUAGGUCCAGGACAUGGGACAGGAGAUCUAUAGCACACAGAGAAGGCAAUGACUUUACAGAGAGGUGAAGGCUGCAGAGUCAGUGAGUGCCUCUGGGGAAGGUGGUCAGUCAGCCAGUGAACUCUGAAGACAUGCUGUCUUGGGGAGUGCUGUAGCAGUAAGCCCACACCC
RNAcentral lists this long non-coding RNA (241 nucleotides) under Bos taurus (domestic cattle). RNAcentral's name for it is "long non-coding RNA NONBTAT005793". Lineage: Eukaryota; Metazoa; Chordata; Mammalia; Artiodactyla; Bovidae. The record is from RNAcentral.